RNAcentral lists this ribosomal RNA (824 nucleotides) under uncultured bacterium. RNAcentral describes it as "bacterial SSU rRNA". It matches the Rfam family "Bacterial small subunit ribosomal RNA", at positions 8 to 852 of the family's 1533-position model. The record is from RNAcentral.
AGAGUUUGAUCAUGGCUCAGGAUUAACGCUGGCGGCGUGCAUGAGACAUGCAAAUCGAACGGACGAGUGGGCUUGCUCACUCGUUAGUGGCGGACGGCUGAGUAACGCGUAGGUGACCUGCCCCGAAGUGGGGAAUAACUGCCCGAAAGGGUGGCUAAUACCGCAUGUGGUGCCACGUUCAUUCGUGUCUCCAAAGCCGCAAGGCGCUUCGGGAGGGGCCUGCGUCCGAUUAGCUCGUUGGUGGGGUAAUGGCUCACCAAGGCGACGAUCGGUAGGUGGUCUGAGAGGACGAUCACCCAGACUGGGACUGAGACACGGCCCAGACUCCUACGGGAGGCAGCAGUCGGGAAUUUUGCUCAAUGGGCGCAAGCCUGAAGCAGCAACGCCGCGUGGGGGAUGACGGCCUUCGGGUUGUAAACCUCUUUUCCCGGGGACGAUGAUGACGGUACUCGGGGAAUAAGUCACGGCUAACUACGUGCCAGCAGCCGCGGUAAUACGUAGGUGACGAGCGUUGUCCGGAUUUACUGGGCGUAAAGAGCGCGCAGGCGGUCGUACAAGUCGAGUGUGAAAUCCCCCGGCUCAACUGGGGAACGUCGCUCGAUACUGUUCGACUUGAAGGCGGGAGAGGGAAGCGGAAUUCCCGGUGUAAUGGUGAACUGCGUAGAUAUCGGGAGGAACACCAGUGGCGAAGGCGGCUUUCUGGCCCGUUCUUGACGCUGAGGCGCGAAAGCUAGGGUAGCAAACGGGAUUAGAUACCCCGGUAGUCCUAGCCGUAAACGAUGGACACUAGGUGUUGGUGGUAUCAACCCCGCCAGUGCCGAAGC